RNAcentral lists this ribosomal RNA (429 nucleotides) under uncultured bacterium. RNAcentral describes it as "bacterial SSU rRNA". It matches the Rfam family "Bacterial small subunit ribosomal RNA", at positions 355 to 775 of the family's 1533-position model. The record is from RNAcentral.
UGGGGAAUAUUGGGCAAUGGGCGAAAGCCUGACCCAGCGACGCCGCGUGGGUGAUGAAGGCCUUCGGGUUGUAAAACCCUUUCGUGCGGAAAGAAUAGUCUCGUAGCGAAUAACUAUGGGAUUUGACGGUACCGCAGGAAGAAGCACCGGCUAACUCCGUGCCAGCAGCCGCGGUAAUACGGAGGGUGCAAGCGUUGUUCGGAAUUAUUGGGCGUAAAGGGCGCGUAGGUGGUUGUGAUAGUCAGAUGUGAAAUCCUUCGGCUCAACCGAAGAACUGCAUCUGAAACUUCAUAGCUCGAGUACAGGAGAGGGAAACGGAAUUCCCGGUGUAGAGGUGAAAUUCGUAGAUAUCGGGAGGAACACCAGUGGCGAAGGCGGUUUCCUGGCCUGAUACUGACGCUGAGGCGCGAAAGCGUGGGGAGCAAACAG